AACAAGGCGUACCUGCGGACCUGCGGAGGGAUCAUUACCGAGGCUGCCUCUAUGGCGGUUUCCCACCUGUGUCAUUUUUACCUGUUGCUUCGGCGGUUGCUUGUCAGUCGCCGAAGGAUUUUAAUCUUGAUGUUUGAUGUCCGAGUUCUACUGAAUAGUUAAAACUUUCAACAAUGGAUCU
This 181-nucleotide unclassified non-coding RNA is filed under the name soil metagenome. Its description in RNAcentral is "partial contains 5.8S ribosomal RNA, internal transcribed spacer 2, and large subunit ribosomal RNA". The record is from RNAcentral.